UACGGGGGGAGCAAGCGUUGUUCGGAUUUACUGGGCGUAAAGGGCGCGUAGGCGGUCGUGACAAGUCACUUGUGAAAUCUCCGGGCUUAACUCGGAACGGUCAAGUGAUACUGUCGGACUAGAGUACAGAAGGGGCAACUGGAAUUCUCGGUGUAGCGGUGAAAUGCGUAGAUAUCGAGAGGAACACCAGUGGCGAAGGCGGCUCACUGGCCCGAUACUGACGCUGAGGCACGAAAGCGUGGGGAGCAAACGGG
Molecule: ribosomal RNA, 254 nt
Filed under: uncultured bacterium
Lineage: Bacteria
Description: partial 16S ribosomal RNA
Rfam family: Bacterial small subunit ribosomal RNA
Source: RNAcentral